GAUGGGGGGAGAAGAUGAUUCCACAAAACACCCUAAACUGUGACUUAUUUACCUAACCUGCCAUCCGUUUCGAUUUCUAAUAAAUCGCCUGGACGAUUCGACUUAUUUACCACACCAGCCACAAACGUCCCCGGUUAAAACCGGUUGCCGGUGGAUAAAUCAUUGCCGUCCACAAGAAAUCCAACGAUAAUAAGAUAAAAUUACCCUUCCAAAUAGUGUAGCAAACACCUACACUUGAUUCUUUUAGAUAUUUUUAAGUAUUUUUUUCAUAAAUAUUC
This 278-nucleotide long non-coding RNA is filed under the name Phoenix dactylifera (date palm). RNAcentral's name for it is "long non-coding RNA (PDAC_LNC020487)". The record is from RNAcentral. Lineage: Eukaryota; Viridiplantae; Streptophyta; Magnoliopsida; Arecales; Arecaceae.